Molecule: ribosomal RNA, 506 nt
Filed under: Scymnini sp. CO826
Lineage: Eukaryota; Metazoa; Arthropoda; Insecta; Coleoptera; Coccinellidae
Description: partial 16S ribosomal RNA
Rfam family: Archaeal large subunit ribosomal RNA (bases 380-506)
Source: RNAcentral
UUUUUGAUUAUAAUUUAAAGUAGGGCCUGCCCMCUGAAUUUUUAAAGGGCCGCAGUAUCUUAACUGUGCAAAGGUAGCAUAAUCAUUAGUUUUUUAAUUGAAAGCUGGUAUGAACGGUUUGAUGAGAAAAUAGCUGUUUCAAUAUUAAUUUUUUAAAAUUUUAUUUUUAAGUUAAAAAGCUUAAAUUUUUCUAAAAGACGAGAAGACCCUAUAGAGUUUAAUUAAUAAUUUUAUUUUAAAUUUUAGAAUUGAUUUUUUAUAAUAAUUUUAUUAAUUUGGUUGGGGUGAUUAAAAAAUUAAAUAAACUUUUUUUAUAUAAUUACAUUUAUUUAUGAGUAUUUGAUCCAUAAGAAUGAUUACAAGAUUAAAUUACCUUAGGGAUAACAGCGUAAUUUUUUUUAAAAGUUCAUAUUUAAAAAAAAGUUUGCGACCUCGAUGUUGGAUUAAAAUUAAUUUUUGGUGUAGAAGCUAAAAAAUUGGGUCUGUUCGACCUUUGAAAUUUUACA